GAGUUUUGAUUUUAGAUGUUACUUAUUAUGGAUAAUUUUAUAUUUAUUUGUCUGUUUCGUGAUUCUCGUGAACGACGGAUGAUACCACCUGCGACACCACGAACUUUAAAAUGCAGGUAACAUCUGUGAUACGUGGAAUGAAUAUCAAACUACAUACGCUCGCCGCGGUGUGCCGCUACGUGUUAGGUGAAAAUGGUCUAUUUCUGUAUGAGGAAUAACGAGGGUAUCUUAUCUAUGAUAACAUCGCACGAUAACAAAUUUAUCAAAUAAUUUAAAAAUAAACAUUGGUGUUUAAAUUGUUUGUUCGAUCAAUUAAACAUCGUAAUAGUAUCUAUAAAACUUAUUACUUACACUGAUAAUUUAAUCGAAGAAAUUCCGUUUUCACAUUAUUUAUCAGAAGAUCUAUUUUAUCGUCUUUAAGGUAUUAUUACACGAAUAUAAUAUUUAUAAAAAAAAGGACAUCUUUGGUUGUCCCUUCGCAAAAAUGUUUUCGGAAAUCGAAAACAAAGAACGUGACUCGUUUCUUUAAAUAAACCAACGAUACCCGGACACGGACAUUAGCUGCAUAAAAAAUGUAGCCCACCCGCACGCGUUUUAUCCCAGUUACAUCUACGUGCAUCUGGCAAGUGACCAAUGCCGUUAGAAAAACGGAAGGCUUUCAGCGCGUCCUUUGUAGGUUAUUCUCACGUUUCGUACUUGAAAAAAUAAUUUUGUUAAAGAAUAGUGACGUUUUACUGUUGUACGAGAGCUUGCACACCGUUUGUCCGCGUUCUAAUUGCUACAGAUAAUUAUCUCAAACAAUUUCACUCGGACGUUUAUACAACGCGAACAGAGUAUUCUCAUUUCAUAGCACUUUAAGCUCAAGUGGCGAGAUCUUUCCUUGGUUAACGAUCUUGCAAAGUUAUGGAGGAAUUUAACCAGCGUCUUCAGGACCGUAGUGGCUUGUUUUCAGCGUAAAAAGAACACCGUAAAGCGAACAGGCAAUGUGGGACGUGAAAUUGAUGAACAGGUUUUCGUGGUAAAUCUACAAAGGAGUUCUCUACGUGGCGAACAUCUGCGAAGUUCCUAUGUAUUCGAUAUUCUGAUCGGUUAGCGUUUUCGAUAUAAACAGCUAACGUCACGGCUAGUACAAGUAAGGUCGUUUCGCGGCGAACUUUGGCGAAUGCGAUAUACGUAUCCGCGUUCUUCAAAUACAAAUACACGGUUGUGAAUGCGGUUAAUAAAGCGGAUGACAUAAUGUUGAAGAAUUUAUUGCGCAAAUUUAUUGUGUAAUGACAUAAAUCUUCUGCGUUGAAAGUAAAGAUUCAGAUCUCUUCACCUGUGACACUGUGCUAUUUGCGUGUGAUACCAAAGGCCAAGAAUGAAAAAUAAAAUAAACUCGUGUAGGGACAAAGGAUUAAAGUACGUAUAUAUAUUUUUGUAACAUUUUAUUAAUUUCAGUCCAAAUUUGUUCCUGCAAGAAAGACCGUUUCAUUGUGAAAACUUCAAAGUGUUUUAAAUUGUAAUUUUGCGUAAAUUCUUUUUAUAGUUUUCACGAAAAAGUAGAUUCCUAAUAUUAUAGGUUAUGUUAUUACUUCCAUAUCUCUUUUUAAUAAAGUUUUUUUCUGCGGAAUAUGUAUGAAUUAUUUUGUUAAUUAAAACUGAACAAAGAUUACUUGGAAUAGGAGAAAAUGAAAGACUGGUCAUUUGAAAGCAAUUUAAAAUAAGAGUUUUUAUUUUAUAUUGACACUAUAUGUAUCACUCCAAAGUAACUUUUUAUUCUAAUUAAUUGUUUAAACAAAUGGCGAUAAAAAUUAAGUUUUAAUUACGUUUGACACAACUGUUCCGUGUCUUUAUGAAAUUUCUGAUAUCUGAAAUGAAAACAGAGCAGCAUAUCCUUAAGAUUGAUAGUUUCGACAAGUAAAGAAUAAAGUAAACAGGUAAAGAUAUGCACUAGUUGAACGUACA
Molecule: long non-coding RNA, 1947 nt
Organism: Bombus impatiens (common eastern bumble bee)
Lineage: Eukaryota; Metazoa; Arthropoda; Insecta; Hymenoptera; Apidae
Exons: 2
Source: RefSeq, a predicted model, not a curated record